This 77-nucleotide non-coding RNA is filed under the name unclassified sequences. Its description in RNAcentral is "CyVA-1 RNA". It matches the Rfam family "CyVA-1 RNA". Rfam says of the family: Cyanobacteria, Acidobacteria (1 example), Verrucomicrobia (1 example). Big IGRs The record is from Rfam by way of RNAcentral.
GCAUCGGUUGAGGGUUAUACCGCAGUGACUCAGUGUCAUACAUCCAAGGAGAGCGACGGCAGAUGUAUGGACGGUGC